AAAGGAAUUGACGGGGGCCCGCACAAGCGGUGGAGCAUGCGGGUUAAUAGGAUGAUACGCCAAGAACCUUACCAGGGCUUGAAAUGGCGCGGACAGCCUGUGAAAGCAGGUCUCCUGGGCAACCAGGUCGCGUCACAGAUGGUGCAUGGUUGUCGUCAGCUCGUGCCGUGAGGUGUUGGGUUAAGUCCCGCAACGAGCGCAACCCUCGCCAGAUGUUGCCAUCGGGCCUUCGGGUGCCGGGCACUCUUCUGGGACUGCCUGAGUAAUCAGGAGGAAGGAGAGGACGACGUCAAAUCUGCAUGCCUCUUACGCCCUGGGCUGCACGCGUGCUACAAUGGCGGGUACAAAGGGUUGCUAAGCCGCGAGGUGGAGCCAAUCCCCCAAAACCCGUCCCAGUUCGGAUCGGAUGUCUGCAACUCGACUCCGUGAAGGCGGAAUCGCUAGUAACCGUGGAUCAGCAAUGCCACGGUGAAUACGUUCCCGGGCCUUGUACACACCGCCCGU
Molecule: ribosomal RNA, 504 nt
Filed under: uncultured bacterium
Lineage: Bacteria
Description: bacterial SSU rRNA
Rfam family: Bacterial small subunit ribosomal RNA
Source: RNAcentral